This 58-nucleotide microRNA precursor is filed under the name Dasypus novemcinctus (nine-banded armadillo). Its description in RNAcentral is "Dno-Mir-145_pre stem-loop". It matches the Rfam family "mir-145 microRNA precursor family", at positions 15 to 73 of the family's 86-position model. Lineage: Eukaryota; Metazoa; Chordata; Mammalia; Cingulata; Dasypodidae. The record is from RNAcentral.
GUCCAGUUUUCCCAGGAAUCCUUAGAUGCUAAGAUGGGGAUUCCUGGAAAUACUGUCU